This 775-nucleotide ribosomal RNA is filed under the name uncultured Neocallimastigales. RNAcentral's name for it is "partial large subunit ribosomal RNA". It matches the Rfam family "Eukaryotic large subunit ribosomal RNA", at positions 24 to 634 of the family's 3401-position model. The record is from RNAcentral. Lineage: Eukaryota; Fungi; Neocallimastigomycota; Neocallimastigomycetes; Neocallimastigales.
UAUCUCUGUAGAGUCUGCAUAUCAAUAAGCGGAGGAAAAGAAACUAACAAGGAUUCCCUUAGUAACGGCGAGUGAAGCGGGAAGAGCUCAAAUUCGAAAUCUUCAAGGUUUUACCUUGACGAAUUGUAGUUUAAAGAAGUGUUUUCUGUUGAAGUUUCGGUAAAAGUUCUUUGGAAUAGGACAUCAUAGAGGGUGAGAAUCCCGUAUUUGACCGUUAGUUUUCAGCUGUGUGAUACACUUUCAAAGAGUCGGAUUGUUUGGGAAUGCAGUCCAAAAUGGGUGGUAAAUUUCAUCUAAAGCUAAAUAUUGGCGAGAGACCGAUAGCGAGCAAGUACCGUGAGGGAAAGAUGAAAAGAACUUUGAAAAGAGAGUUAAACAGUACGUGAAAUUGUCAAAAGGGAAGCGUUUGACACCAGUGUUGUUUUCUCGAAAAUCAAUUAAAAGUGGCUUGAUUUUGUGUUGUAUUGACCUUAAAAGCUUUCUUCACUUUUUUCAUGUCUUUUUUAAUGCACUUUUCGUUUAACAAGUCAACAUCAGUUUCUUUUGUUGUAAAAAGGUCAUUGGAAGGUGGCUUUCUUUUCGGAGAAAGUGUUUAUAGCCUUUGACUUCUGCAAUCGGAGAGACUGAGGUCUGCAGCGUAGAUCCUUCUGGAUUAGAUUCAUUUGUGCUAAGUUACAACCGUUUAUAGACAACUUGUUGACUAUAUUCGAUCCUGUAGCUUACUCGCUUAUGUAAUUUUACCUACGCUUAGGAUGUUGAUAUGCAUGACUGAUAU